RNAcentral lists this ribosomal RNA (402 nucleotides) under uncultured bacterium. RNAcentral describes it as "bacterial SSU rRNA". It matches the Rfam family "Bacterial small subunit ribosomal RNA", at positions 362 to 758 of the family's 1533-position model. The record is from RNAcentral.
UAUUGGACAAUGGGCGAAAGCCUGAUCCAGCCAUGCCGCGUGUGUGAAGAAGGCCUUAGGGUUGUAAAGCACUUUCAAUUGGGAGGAAAACCUACCGGUCAAUACCCGGUAGCUUGACAUUACCUUUAGAAGAAGCACCGGCUAACUCCGUGCCAGCAGCCGCGGUAAUACGGAGGGUGCGAGCGUUAAUCGGAAUUACUGGGCGUAAAGCGUGCGUAGGCGGUUCGUUAAGUCAGAUGUGAAAGCCCUGGGCUCAACCUGGGAACGGCAUUUGAAACUGGCGGACUAGAGUUUAGUAGAGGGGAGUGGAAUUUCAGGUGUAGCGGUGAAAUGCGUAGAUAUCUGAAGGAACACCAGUGGCGAAGGCGACUCCCUGGACUAGAACUGACGCUGAGUACGAAA